UUGACAUCUGACCUCAAAUCCAGGA
This 25-nucleotide ribosomal RNA is filed under the name Pseudolagarobasidium belizense. Its description in RNAcentral is "partial 28S ribosomal RNA". Lineage: Eukaryota; Fungi; Basidiomycota; Agaricomycetes; Polyporales; Cerrenaceae. The record is from RNAcentral.